GGUCAAGUUAUUAAGGGUGCAGGGCGGAUGCCUUGGCACUAGGAGCCGAUGAAGGACGUGAUAAGCUGCGAUAAGCUUCGGGGAGUUGCACGUAAACUUUGAUCCGAAGAUUUCCGAAUGAGGAAACUCACUUAGAGUAAUGUCUAAGUAUCAUUAAGUGAAUACAUAGCUUAAUGAGGGGAACUCAGGGAACUGAAACAUCUAAGUACCUGAAGGAAGAGAAAGAAAUUCGAUUCCGUAAGUAGCGGCGAGCGAACGCGGAUUAGCCCAAACCAAUAAAGUUUUCUUUAUUGGGGUUGCGGACAUAUCAUAACGAAGAGGUAUCGUAAUUGAAGAGGUUUGGAAAGACCCACCACAGAAGGUAAUAGUCCUGUAUGUUAAACGAGAAGACUUCAGAUAUGAUCCAGAGUACCACGGGACACGUGAAACCCUGUGGGAAGCAGGAGGGACCACCCUCCAAGGCUAAAUACUACCUAGUGACCGAUAGCGUAUAGUACCGUGAGGGAAAGGUGAAAAGAACCCCGGGAGGGGAGUGAAAUAGAACCUGAAACCCUGCACUUACAAGCUGUGGAAGCACAUUUCUUGUGUGACCGCGUACUUUUUGUAGAACGGGCCAACGAGUUACGUUAAGUAGCAAGGUUAAGCACUUAAGGUGUGGAGCCGUAGCGAAAGCGAGUUUUAACUGAGCGUUCAGUUACUUGACGUAGACCCGAAACCGGGCGACCUACCCAUGAGCAGGAUGAAGCGAAAGUAAAAUUUCGUGGAGGUCCGAACCCACGAGCGUUGAAAAGCUCGGGGAUGACUUGUGGGUAGCGGUGAAAUUCCAAUCGAGCCCGGAGAUAGCUGGUUCUCCCCGAAAUAGCUUUAGGGCUAGCCUCAAGGUGAGAGAUACGGAGGUAGAGCACUGAAUGUCCUAGGGGGGAUUGCACCUACCGAAGACUAUCAAACUCCGAAUGCCGUCAUCUUAUACUUGGGAGUCAGACUGUGGGUGAUAAGAUUCAUAGUCGAAAGGGCAACAGCCCAGAUCGUCAGCUAAGGUCCCUAAAUGUAAGUUAAGUGGUAAAGGAUGUGGGAUUGCACAGACAACCAGGAUGUUGGCUUAGAAGCAGCCACUCAUUCAAAGAGUGCGUAAUAGCUCACUGGUCGAGUGAUCCUGCGCCGAAGAUUUCCGGGGCUAAAACUUACUACCGAAGCUACGGCAUCAGUAAUGAUGGGUAGGGGAGCUUCCCAUACGGGUUGAAGCAUGACCGUAAGGACAUGUGGACAGUAUGGGAGUGAGAAUGUUGGCAUGAGUAGCGAGAUGUGGGUGAGAAUCCCACAGGCCGUAAACCCAAGGUUUCCAGGGGAAGGUUCGUCCGCCCUGGGUUAGUCGGGACCUAAGCUGAGGCCGAAAGGCGUAGGUGAUGGACAACAGGUUGAUAUUCCUGUACUACCGAUAACCGUUUGAGAGAAGGGAUGACACAGUAGGAUAAGCUAAGCACACUGUUGGUUAUGUGUGCCCAAGCAUUGAGGCAGUCAAAGUAGGCAAAUCCGCUUUGAUAAUGCUGGGAUGUGAUGGGGAGCGAAAUUUAGUAGCGAAGUAGCUGAUUUCACACUGUCAAGAAAAGUCUCUAUCGAGGUUAAAGGUACCCGUACCGCAAACCGACACAGGUGGGUGAGGAGAGUAUCCUAAGGCCAGCGAGAGAACUGUUGUUAAGGAACUCGGCAAAAUGACCCCGUAACUUAGGGAUAAGGGGUGCCACCAUCAGGUGGCCGCAGAGAAUAGGCCCAAGCGACUGUUUACCAAAAACAUAGGUUUCUGCUAAGUCGCAAGACGAUGUAUAGGAGCUGACGCCUGCCCGGUGCUGGAAGGUUAAGGGGAUCUGUUAGAGCAAUCGAAGCAGUGAACUUAAGCCCCAGUAAACGGCGGCCGUAACUAUAACGGUCCUAAGGUAGCGAAAUUCCUUGUCGGGUAAGUUCCGACCCGCACGAAAGGCGUAACGAUUUGGGCACUGUCUCAACAACAGACUCGGUGAAAUUGUAAUUCCGGUGAAGAUGCCGGAUACCUGCGACAGGACGGAAAGACCCCAUGGAGCUUUACUGUAGCUUGACAUUGGGUUUUGGUACUACAUGUACAGGAUAGGUGGGAGGCUUUGAAACCAGGACGCCAGUUUUGGCGGAGCCAUCCUUGGGAUACCACCCUUGUAGUACUGGGACUCUAACCAUAGGCCAUGAAUCUGGUCUUGGGACACUGUCAGGUGGGCAGUUUGACUGGGGCGGUCGCCUCCCAAAAGGUAACGGAGGCGCUCAAAGGUUCUCUCAGUACGGUCGGAAAUCGUACGUAGAGUGUAAAGGCAAAAGAGAGCUUGAUUGCAAGACAUACAGGUCGAGCAAGGAUGAAAAUCGGACUUAGUGAUCCGGUGGUUCUGCGUGGAAGGGCCAUCGCUCAACGGAUAAAAGCUACCCUGGGGAUAACAGGCUUAUCUCCCCCAAGAGUCCACAUCGACGGGGAGGUUUGGCACCUCGAUGUCGGCUCAUCACAUCCUGGGGCUGUAGUAGGUCCCAAGGGUUGGGCUGUUCGCCCAUUAAAGUGGUACGCGAGCUGGGUUCAGAACGUCGUGAGACAGUUCGGUCCCUAUCCGUCGCAGGCGUAGGAAAUUUGAGAAGACCUGUCCUUAGUACGAGAGGACCGGGAUGGACGUACCUCUGGUGUACCAGUUGUUCUGCCAAGGGCAUGGCUGGGUAGCUAUGUACGGAAUGGAUAAGCGCUGAAAGCAUCUAAGCGCGAAGCCAACUUCAAGAUAAGAUUUCCCACCGCAAGGGUAAGACCCCAGAAAGACUAUCUGGUUGAUAGGUCGAAGGUGUAAGUGCAGCAAUGUAUUUAGCUUAUCGAUACUAAUAGGUCGAGGACUUGACCAA
This 2898-nucleotide ribosomal RNA is filed under the name Clostridioides difficile. Its description in RNAcentral is "23S ribosomal RNA". It matches the Rfam family "Bacterial large subunit ribosomal RNA". Lineage: Bacteria; Bacillati; Bacillota; Clostridia; Peptostreptococcales; Peptostreptococcaceae. The record is from RNAcentral.